GAUGAAGAACGUAGCGAAAUGCGAUAACUAAUGUGAAUUGCAGAAUUCAGUGAAUCAUCGAGUCUUUGAACGCACAUUGCGCCCCCUGGUAUUCCGGGGGGCAUGCCUGUCCGAGCGUCAUUGCUGCCCUCAAGCACGGCUUGUGGGUUGGGCUCCGUCCCCCCGGGGACGGGCCCGAAAGGCAGCGGCGGCACCGAGUCCGGUCCUCGAGCGUAUGGGGCUUUGUCACCCGCUCUGUAGGCCCGGCCGGCGCCAGCCGACAACCCAUCAUCCUUUUCAGGUUGACCUCGGAUCAGGUAGGGAUACCCGCUGAACUUAAGCAUAUCAAUAAGCGGAGGA
Molecule: unclassified non-coding RNA, 339 nt
Filed under: soil metagenome
Description: partial contains 5.8S ribosomal RNA, internal transcribed spacer 2, and large subunit ribosomal RNA
Rfam family: 5.8S ribosomal RNA (bases 1-120)
Source: RNAcentral